This 643-nucleotide ribosomal RNA is filed under the name Aplanochytrium stocchinoi. RNAcentral describes it as "partial Bacterial small subunit ribosomal RNA". It matches the Rfam family "Bacterial small subunit ribosomal RNA", at positions 121 to 760 of the family's 1533-position model. The record is from RNAcentral. Lineage: Eukaryota; Bigyra; Thraustochytrida; Thraustochytriidae.
GGAACGUACCCAAGAGUGGGGGAUAACGUAGCGAAAGUUACGCUAAUACCGCAUACGAUCCAAGGAUGAAAGCAGGGGAUCUUCGGACCUUGUGCUCCUGGAGCGUCCGAUAUCUGAUUAGCUAGUUGGUGAGGUAAAGGCUCACCAAGGCGACGAUCAGUAGCUGGUCUGAGAGGAUGAUCAGCCACACUGGGACUGAGACACGGCCCAGACUCCUACGGGAGGCAGCAGUGGGGAAUAUUGGACAAUGGGCGAAAGCCUGAUCCAGCAAUACCGCGUGUGUGAAGAAGGCCUUCGGGUUGUAAAGCACUUUAAGUUGGGAAGAAAAAACUUCAAUUAAUACUUGAAGUCUUGACGGUACCGACAGAAUAAGCACCGGCUAACUCUGUGCCAGCAGCCGCGGUAAUACAGAGGGUGCUAGCGUUAAUCGGAUUUACUGGGCGUAAAGCGUGCGUAGGCGGUUUGAUAAGUCGGUUGUGAAAGCCCCGGGCUCAACCUGGGAACUGCAUCCAAAACUGGCAAGCUAGAGUACGGUAGAGGGUGGUGGAAUUUCCUGUGUAGCGGUGAAAUGCGUAGAUAUAGGAAGGAACACCAGUGGCGAAGGCGACCACCUGGACUGAUACUGACACUGAUGUGCGAAAGC